ACCACAAUAAAGAAUAAAAGCGUUUUUGGUCAUUUUAGGUAUCGUUAAGCCUAUGAAGUAAAAUUAAAAUUGCAAGAAAUGUCGAUAGUUUAUCGAUAUGACUUUAUCGACAUGGCUACAGCAAGGUGGGCCUCAUUGUUAAUCGUACACUAAACAAAAGUGGCAACAGUGACAGCUCGCUGAGACACCGUCUCUAUAUAUUAUGUCUAUGGUAAGUACCAAUAAACAAACAACAAGUAGUGAAAAUACAAACUAAGUUAAAGAAAAAUACUGAUUUGCUGUGAAAACUGAAGGAAAUUCCACCCAAAAUUUGAUGCUUCGUCGCAAAAGAAAAUGCUAGCGAAAUAUAUCACUCAGCAUCCCCUGUCCGUCUACAGGGAGAUCCAUGAGCCUCUCGGAAUCCAGAGAUACAAAAUGCAAUGCUGCACAGUGCACGCAAGUUCUAAGAGAGCAUGCAUAAUCAUGCUCGUAGGUACAGAUCAGUGCAGGGAUGGAAGUUAACUUAUCGUGACUCGAGCUGCAAAGUAAGAAAAUCAAUGUGGCACCAAACCAGGCUCGGCCAGUGAAGGAAAAUGGAUCCAGAAGAAUUAAGGAUUUAAGAUUCAUAACAUAUUGGAGGCUUGAAAGUGCACAUACCCAUACAUUGGACGUUAAGCUCAACGAGACCAUGCGUCGCAUCUCAGGCACUAUCCGAUCUGCAGCCGCCACGUGCUGCUGUCAUUGAGUCACAUUGCCCCUUCUCACAUCCGACGACUCCAGGCGUUGAAGAGGGAGGCUGAGAAGAUCACGAAUAACCCCCGCAAUGCCUGUCCACGAAGAAUUCUGCCGCCCAACCCCUCGGCAUCUGAAAUCCCGGAAUCCUGGGAGCCUGAGCAGCUUUAAUAUUUCGGAUAGGUAGAAAGCGGAAUGGUCUGCUAUAUCUGACCUGACUGAAAAACCAAAAGGUUUCACCUUCCUCGGAAAAUCUGGUGCCGCCUGAACGGGCUGAGAACCGGACAUGGCCGCUGCAAUUCAGCCACACACAAAUGGAGAUAGACGGCUUUCCCACUUUGCGAAUGCGGAGAGGAAAAGCAGACCACUUAGCAUAUGUUCCAACGCUGCCCACUCCACUCAUACCCUGCUGAGGACCUGAAGACCGUGACACCUGACUUUGGUUGCUUGACUUGGCAACCUCAAGGCUACACUCUGAAUCUCCUCUCUUUAUAUAAUUGCUAUAUGGUUAAAUAAAUAAAUAAAUAAUAUAUAGCUAUCGAACGAGAAGGCUUAUGGCUUCAGCCAAGAAAAGUUCUCACAUUCCGGCUGGGACACACCUCUCAGCAACUGGCAUGUCCAUGCAUUUCGAAUACCAAGUCAAUAGUCAAAGUUUUUAUUUGUUAAACAUUAUGCAGGUAAAACUAUUACAGUGGUGUAUAAAAGGUUUUUUACAAACUUUAAAGUUGCAAUGUAUGUAUCAAGUCCUGCAAGACAAAUUAGACCCCACUUCCGUUUAUUCGAAGGAUUACCCUUCGAUUUAUACCCUUUUUUACACAAAUAAAAAUAAACUAUUCUAUUCUAUUACUGACUUGAAUUAGAAUCAUUUGUCUUUAUCUGGCAUUUUGACUUACAUGUAUUUCUAAGAACGGGAUAAAACAUAAUUUAACUAAAUCGGGCCUGUAAAGUUUUAUGAAUAACUCGGGGUUUUAUGAAUAACGGGGUGUCUUUUUAUAGUUUAUUCCGCAAUCAUUAGUUUUUCUUAUUUAUAAACUAAAACUACCUAAAAAGUGAAAAACCUACAAAUAAAAAAUCGGCCCCAAGUCUGUCCCCUCUGUGUAGGGUGCCCAGAAGGCUGGCGGCGUUACCGCGCUGAACGGCAACGCCAAUGCGUUGGGCGAGGUAAGCUCCACCCUUCCGGUCACCCGUUGCAUCUAUUAAGGUGCAUUAGGCGCUUGGCUAACUCUUUAUAAACGCUGUGCGCGCCUUGACCCCACGGCCCAAGCGUCUCCAAACCAAACGGCUCAAGGUUUAGGUGGUUUUAGUUUAGUAUGUUUAGUUAUUAGUUUAAUUUCUUUAUUAAUAUUAUAAUUAUAUAUUAGUUUUUAAUUAGUUUUAUGUUUAGAUUAUGUGUUAUUCUAUCUGUUUAUAAACUGAAAUAGAUGUCAUACACUAAAGAUAAAGUGAUCAAGUCCCACCGGUGGCGGCACGCAGAUAGUCAAAAAUUCUUUAAUGUUAUCGUUAUCGUUGAAAGGCUAACCUUUGCCUUUGACCGACUCUAAGGGCGAGCAGUACUUUUUUUUACCUAACUGCGUCAGGAGGGUAAUGUUAAAUAGGCUAUAUACAUUUUGAAAAUGACGCCUCAAAUUGAAAAAAUAGGGGGAAGGGUGGGGUCUUACCCUUACCAUAGUAAUAUGGAUUUAAAAUGAAAGCUAGCGAGAAGACCAUUCCAAAAAUAUAUAAAAAUAUUUUGGCAAUAGUUGUUUUAUUUACCCAUUUA
Molecule: long non-coding RNA, 2470 nt
Organism: Cydia fagiglandana
Lineage: Eukaryota; Metazoa; Arthropoda; Insecta; Lepidoptera; Tortricidae
Exons: 4
Source: RefSeq, a predicted model, not a curated record